Molecule: ribosomal RNA, 397 nt
Filed under: uncultured bacterium
Lineage: Bacteria
Description: partial 16S ribosomal RNA
Rfam family: Bacterial small subunit ribosomal RNA
Source: RNAcentral
AUACGUAGGUGGCGAGCGUUGUCCGGAAUUACUGGGCGUAAAGGAUGCGUAGGUGGAUAUUUAAGUGGGAUGUGAAAUCCCCGGGCUCAACCCGGGAACUGCAUUCCAAACUGGGUAUCUAGAGUGCAGGAGAGGAAAGCGGAAUUCCUAGUGUAGCGGUGAAAUGCGUAGAUAUUAGGAGGAACACCAGUGGCGAAGGCGGCUUUCUGGACUGUAACGGACACUGAGGCAUGAAAGCGUGGGUAGCAAACAGGAUUAGAUACCCUGGUAGUCCACGCCGUAAACGAUGGGUACUAGGUGUAGGAGGUAUCGACCCCUUCUGUGCCGUCGUUAACACAAUAAGUAUUCCGCCUGGGGAGUACGGCCGCAAGGUUGAAACUCAAAUGAAUUGACGGGG